UACGUAGGGUCGAGCGUUGUCCGGAGUUACUGGGCGUAAAGCGUGCGCAGGCGGCUUCCUGCGCCCGGCGUGAAAGCCCCCGGCUCAACCGGGGAGGGUCGUCGUGAACGGGUGAGCUUGAGGGUAUCAGGGGCUGGUGGAAUUCCCGGUGUAGCGGUGAAAUGCGUAGAGAUCGGGAGGAACACCAGUGGCGAAGGCGGGUAACUGGACUGCAACUGACGCUGAUGCGCGAAAGUGUGGGGAGCAAACAGGAUUAGAUACCCGCGUAGUCCCUGAGCGGG
RNAcentral lists this ribosomal RNA (281 nucleotides) under uncultured prokaryote. RNAcentral describes it as "partial 16S ribosomal RNA". It matches the Rfam family "Bacterial small subunit ribosomal RNA", at positions 524 to 803 of the family's 1533-position model. The record is from RNAcentral.